RNAcentral lists this non-coding RNA (710 nucleotides) under Schistocephalus solidus. Its description in RNAcentral is "Eukaryotic large subunit ribosomal RNA". It matches the Rfam family "Eukaryotic large subunit ribosomal RNA", at positions 711 to 1440 of the family's 3401-position model. The record is from Rfam by way of RNAcentral. Lineage: Eukaryota; Metazoa; Platyhelminthes; Cestoda; Diphyllobothriidea; Diphyllobothriidae.
GGAAUUUAGCGCAAGCGGAAAGACGUGAAUCGUUCUGCGGUCGUCGUGGGAGCCGGUGCGUCAUCUGGCGGAGCAGGAGCGUGCACGAUAAGACCCGAAAGAUGAUGAAGUAUGCUUGCGGAGGUUGAAGCCACAGGAAACUCUGGCGGAUAACCGCAGCGACUCGGACGUACAAAUCGAUCGUCAAACGUGAGUAUAGGGCGAAAGACUAAUCGAACCAUCCGGUAGCUGGUUCCCUCCGAAACUUCCCUCAAGAUAGCUGGCACUUAGUUUUAUCCGGUAGAGCGAAUGAUUAGAGGUACUGGGUUUGAAACGACCUCAACCUAUUCUCAAACUUUAAAUGGGUGAGAUGCCCGGCUCAUUUUAUAAGAGUCGGGCGCUGCAUAUGCGAGUGCCAAGUGAGCCAUUUUUGUAAACAGAAUGGGAGCUGUGGGAUGAACCAAAUGCCCGGAUAAGGUGCCUAAUGCUUCCGCUCACGAGAUACCACUAAAGGUGUUGGGAAAUAUAAUCAGCAGGACGGUGCCCAUGGAAUGUGGCAUCCGCUAAGGAGUGUGGAACAACUCACCUGCCAAACUGAACAGCCCUGAAAAUGGAUGGCACUGGAGCGUCGGGCCUAUACCGGCCCUCAUUGCAAAUAGGAUCUCAGGGUCUGGACGAAGCAGUCUCAUGUUCACAGCUAUGCUGAUGGAAGCAUACCAUGAGGAGAGACC